AUUGAAAGGCUGAAACUUUCCCCUCCCGAAACCAUCGCCUCGCCUCCACCGACCACCAUGCCGCCGGACGGAAUCGUCGAGGAUAUUUACCUCCGCCUCCGCCGGACGAGCCCGCGUGCCUCGUUCGCGCCUCCCUCGCUAGCAAGCUCUGGCUCGGCCAUCUCACCGGCCCUCGCUUCCGCGAGCUCCAUGGAGCGCCCCCCAUGCUGGGCUUCCUUUACGAUUGGUUCUGGGACUACAUGCCGGAGGAGAAAGACGCCGUCCCGCGCUUCGUCCCCGACCACCACUGGGGGGAGGGGACUCGGGCUCGGACUACAACGCGUUGGACUGCCGCCAUGGCCGCGUUCUCCUGGGGAUUAUGGCGCGCCCAUGCCGCUCGUCGUCUGGGACCCCAUGGCAGGCCGCCAAACCAAGAUGGAAGCGCCCAAAGGACAGGAUAUCGGUGUCAUGAGGGCGCCUUCAGGGUCGUCGUCUUCGGCAUGACCACCCAUGGUGAUCAUCCUGUUAUUAUACAGGUGUGCGUGUCCUCGCCCAACACGGGUGAGUGGAGCGAUCCGUGCCCUGGUCUUGAUCUUGGCGUUGACGCAUUCAUCAUGCCGGUGCCCCCUGUCGUCAUCCGAGAUAGAUGCAGUUUACUUGAUGCAUGCAUGCGCGUGGUGAGCAUCAUCACAUUACAGGAAUUCUCAAGUACGACUUGGGCUCUAAUUGCUUAUCGCUGAUGAUUGACAUGCCGCUGCCGGGGGCUGUCAAUGUCGGCGACGUCAUCCUCAUGGCCAUGGAGGAUGGCAGCUUGGGGCUUGCACAUGUCAGUGGAUCAACCCUCUACCUGUGGUCAAGCUCAAGCCAGCGACGACAUGGACUCAGCGUAGAGCCAUCCAUCUCAAAACCCUUCUUCCCAUUCAAAAUCCCAUGGAAGGACUUAGACUGAUUGGAUCCAUGGAAGGCAAUGAUAUCGUCUUCGUGCUUACGGACCUUAGCAUCUACUCCCUCCGUUCCAAAUUACUCGUCGUGGUUUUAGUUCAAAUUUGAACUAAUACCACGACGCGUAAUUUGGAACGGAGGGAGUACCAGAUUAAUCUUAACUCACUACAGUGGAACAAGAUAUGGAAGAGACAAAAAUUCUUUGCUUUGAUUCCCUACAUGAGUUUCCACAAUCCACAAGAAAGGAUGAGCCCCUGAAAUGUGAAGCACCGGCAACAUAUGGUUGAAUAAUGCUUUAGGGGCAGGAGGCCACUAUCAUCAAUAGGAAAGAUGACUACUUGGAGUGGAGGCGACAUGAGUCUUGUGAUUAAUCGUGUCAGUAUUCAGUAGCUUGUUUAGUGCUUGUUUUCUCAUAGUGAUGUUACUUUUGGUCAGUAAGCUUGAUAAUGUCCCCGUGUUGUUGAUGUGUGUAAGCAGGGGAAUGGAUUGCCUUUGUAAUUAACCUCUAAUUUCUUGCAGCAUCAGCUAUGUGCUUUCUUGUUUAA
Triticum dicoccoides is the source of this 1466-nucleotide long non-coding RNA. RefSeq lists it as uncharacterized. Lineage: Eukaryota; Viridiplantae; Streptophyta; Magnoliopsida; Poales; Poaceae. The transcript has 2 exons. The record is from RefSeq and is a predicted model, not a curated record.